UGAAAUUGGGAAUUUGAUUUCCAUAUAACUUGUUUCACAAUCAAUAAUAUAUAUACACCCACAUAACUCCUUCACCCACAUCUUAUUUCUCGAACCACACCCUCAACCGUUCCGUUACCAUGAACCACCACUCGCCUACAACUAUGACAACCGCCACAUAUCCACCACUCACCACCACACAUAGCCACACCGUGACCGCAACAGCUUUAUCGUGGCCACCAUCACUCCCAAACCAGAUUGUUGUCACCUUCAGUUACCGUCACCAAUGACGCCGUAUUGGUUUGUGCUUGAUUGCCGCAAUACAUUACCGUCAUCCGAGCACCAAUACCCUUGUUGUGAAACGUUUGGUCACUGCUUGCAUUUCCCAUAGAUGACCCUCGUCACCGUAAGGUGUUCAAAUAUAGUUUUCCAUUUCGUCGAGUUGGCGUUACGCAUUAAGGUAAUCUGGGAUACUAUGGGAUUUCAGUGAGGAGCGUUAGGAAGUUGCUGACCAAGAAUCUUUAUUUUAGUAACGUAAUAAAAUGUAAUUAGGAUCUUUUAUUUAAUGUUAUGGAUUGGUUUUUAGUUUUGAUAUCUGUAAGAGUGACACGUCAGCCCUAUUCGGGUCGGGGUGUUACAAUCUUCCUUCAUGCUCACCGGAAACUUUCUUCAUCCACCGGUAUAAUGGGAAGCAGGAAGGAAUAAUAACAACAAUAAUAAAUUUGUUCAUGCUCACCGUACAAUCAGUAUGUUCCAAUUUUCAACUACAUGGGUCCAUCAAGUUCAUUUUGUGGAUCAGUAUCUUCCUUGGUGCAAUUGAAGUUUCAUCCUUUGUAUUAAUUUACUGCAUCAAGUUCACUUCUAUAGCAGAGAUGAAGACAAAACAAGCUUAUGAUGAAUAUGUAACUUUAUUUUCUUUAUGUUCGUAGAUUUUAUACAUUUUUUGUUUGUAAAUUUGUAUAAGUUUAUGAUUAAUGUUAUUGAAUUUGUAUAGUUUUUAGUUUUA
Long non-coding RNA from Helianthus annuus (common sunflower), 985 nucleotides. RefSeq lists it as uncharacterized. NCBI's taxonomy places the organism in Eukaryota, Viridiplantae, Streptophyta, Magnoliopsida, Asterales, Asteraceae. The transcript has 4 exons. The record is from RefSeq and is a predicted model, not a curated record.